UUCUCCAUGCCACAAUAGUCAAUUCCCAAAUUGAACGACUCCCAAGUAUUACCGUUUGGGGGUCUUCUUUUUCUCCCAGAUCGUACAGCAAAAAAAAUCCUAGGGUUCUUCUUUUACUCCCAAAAUCAAUUGAAUCCGCAGGCAACGACCAGGUGUUUUCCAUCGAUCCGCAGAGGUAACAAUUUUCUCCAUAAUUUUAUCCAUACCUAUGAUAUUUUGUCUUUUGAUCUGAACAUUGGGGGAACUGAAAUCUUGAAGAAUUUGGGAUAACUCUGCUACAUCGAUCUUUUCUCUUCUACCUUGAACUAAUUAAUAUUGAGCUCACAUGGGGUAUUUAGGUUGAAUUAAUUUGUAUUGUGCAUCUUAGUGCUCUUGAGUUCGUUGUUUGAAUUAUUAAACUGAUAGUGUUUACUGUUUUGUUUUGCAAGAAAAAUCAUGCAAAAUCCAACCUGCUUUUGUGGAAAUAUGGUGGUGCAGAGGACUUCUUGGACUGAUCGAAAUCCGGGAAGGAGGUACACUACUUGUAUUAAGUAUAAGGUACACAUUGCAACUUGUAGAAAUUUAUAUAUAUAUACACAAUUGUGAGAAUAUGUUCUAAGGUUUGCAAUAUUUUCUGAAUUCAGGAACAAGGUGGUUGUGAAUUUUUUGCUUGGUUUGAUCCUCCCAUGGGAAAUAGGUCGAAUCAAUGGAUAUGAAUCUGAAAUUUCUCACAGAAGAUCAAGGGAGAAUAAAUUAGGGAUUUUGUUGGUGUUCUCUUGGAUAGUUAUGUAUUGGUUGUUUGGUGCCUCGGGUGGAUUCAAAAUGGCUAACACUUUGGAACUUGCUUAAUGGUAUUGAGAACUACAAUAACCUGGAGCAGAAGCAUGUAUGGUGUUUAGGAGUAGGACUAUAUGUUGUACUUUCUAUGCAGUGUACUGUAAUUUUCAAUUGAUGUAAUGUACUUGAGUUUAAAUUGUUAGUUUAUGAAGUGUAUGUAAACUUGAAUCAUAAUUAUUAGUUUAUGUAAUAUAAUGCGUUCUUUAUUUUGACCAAAAAAAA
RNAcentral lists this long non-coding RNA (1038 nucleotides) under Erythranthe guttata (spotted monkey flower). Its description in RNAcentral is "long non-coding RNA (EGUT_LNC002966)". The record is from RNAcentral. Lineage: Eukaryota; Viridiplantae; Streptophyta; Magnoliopsida; Lamiales; Phrymaceae.